This 490-nucleotide ribosomal RNA is filed under the name uncultured bacterium. Its description in RNAcentral is "partial 16S ribosomal RNA". It matches the Rfam family "Bacterial small subunit ribosomal RNA", at positions 30 to 507 of the family's 1533-position model. The record is from RNAcentral.
AUUGAACGCUGGCGGCAGGCCUAACACAUGCAAGUCGAACGGUAACAGGAAGAAGCUUGCUUCUUUGCUGACGAGUGGCGGACGGGUGAGUAAUGUCUGGGAAACUGCCUGAUGGAGGGGGAUAACUACUGGAAACGGUAGCUAAUACCGCAUAAUGUCGCAAGACCAAAGAGGGGGACCUUCGGGCCUCUUGCCAUCGGAUGUGCCCGGAUGGGAUUAGCUAGUAGGUGGGGUAACGGCUCACCUAGGCGACGAUCCCUAGCUGGUCUGAGAGGAUGACCAGCCACACUGGAACUGAGACACGGUCCAGACUCCUACGGGAGGCAGCAGUGGGGAAUAUUGCACAAUGGGCGCAAGCCUGAUGCAGCUAUGCCGCGUGUAUGAAGAAGGCCUUCGGGUUGUAAAGUACUUUCAGCGGGGAGGAAGGGAGUAAAGUUAAUACCUUUGCUCAUUGACGUUACCCGCAGAAGAAGCACCGGCUAACUCCGUG